RNAcentral lists this ribosomal RNA (450 nucleotides) under uncultured bacterium. Its description in RNAcentral is "partial 16S ribosomal RNA". It matches the Rfam family "Bacterial small subunit ribosomal RNA", at positions 338 to 795 of the family's 1533-position model. The record is from RNAcentral.
CCUACGGGGGGCAGCAGUGGGGAAUAUUGGACAAUGGGCGCAAGCCUGAUCCAGCAAUGCCGCGUGUGUGAAGAAGGCCUGCGGGUUGUAAAGCACUUUAAGCAGGAAAGAAGGGGUGAAAGUUAAUACAUUUCAUCAUUGACGUUACCUGCAGAAUAAGCACCGGCUAACUCCGUGCCAGCAGCCGCGGUAAUACGGAGGGUGCGUACGUUACUCGGAAUUAGCGUGGGUGAAUCGCGCGUUCGGUGGUGAAAGCCCUGGGCUUAACCUGGGAACUGCGGUGGAUACUGUCGGGCUAGAGUGUGGUAGAGGGGAGUGGAAUUUCCGGUGUAGCAGUGAAAUGCGUAGAGAUCGGAAGGAACACCAGUGGCGAAGGCGGCUCCCUGGACUAACACUGACGCUGAGGUGCGAAAGCGUGGGGAGCAAACAGGAUUAGAUACCCCUGUAGUC